Oreochromis aureus is the source of this 1330-nucleotide long non-coding RNA. RefSeq lists it as uncharacterized. The transcript is spliced from 2 exons. Lineage: Eukaryota; Metazoa; Chordata; Actinopteri; Cichliformes; Cichlidae. The record is from RefSeq and is a predicted model, not a curated record.
CAUUUAUUUGGUCCUCCGAGCCGGAUUAGGACAUUGAAUUUUAACUAAUUUUGUGCUCCAACAGAGUGACCUCGUCGUCUCCUGGAAUCGUGAACCCGCGCUGAAAGUCUGUCCGGACAGCCUGUUUCUAGUGAAACAGUAAAGACCAACUACGUGAAUUCGCCGUUGGCCAGCGUUUUUAGCAAGAGGUCCACGAUCCCAGGGAGCGAGGAGGAUUCUCUCUGACCGGCAUUUUCGUCCGAACCAGAGCAGGAGCUACAUGAGGACACAUCAGAGGGAGGGAAACAGCUAUUAAAGCUCGAACAUGCAGCUGUCUGUGAACCCAGUUUUCACCCUCACACCCCUGAUCUGUUUUUAACAGCAGCUUUUUGCAUCCUGUCUCAUGUGUGUAAAGCGUUCAUGCCAUCAGCAACUUGUUUUUGUUUUUUGUUUGUUUCUUGAUGUUGCUUGAGUGAGGAAUGCUGUGACUUCUGAAACAGCUCUCUUCAUGCAACUUCAUGCUUGAUGAUGAUAAUUUCAGAGCCAGCUGAGAGCUGGGUUGAGAGCGAUGCUUUGUUUUAAGUGACAAAGCAGAAAAGUUAAACUUAGUUUGUUUUUGUUUGUUUGUUUGUUUGUUUUUCAAUACGAGACAAUGGUAAUGGAUAAGAAGUGAUAUUUUGUUUAAGUGUUGAAGAAAGCUAAAUACUGCAACAUACGUCUAGUGCAUGAUCUGCGAGCAAUGAAUGGAUCAUCUUAUUUAUCUUUAAAUAAACUCCGAUUAUGGAGACCUGAGUCACAUACUUAGGGCACACCCUUAGGUGAAGGCAGAAAGCUACUAAACAAAGAAAAGAAGCUAUAUACAAUGCGCGAUAGCCACAAGAUUAAGCAUUCACAUUCUUUCUGACUCUUAAUGAGCCUGAGUUAUGACCUUGGCUCCCUAUUUUUCUGCCUCCACCAGAGAUGGGAGUGAAGCUCCCGUGGAAUGUGCUCUGUUCUCCUUACUGCAUCUAUAAAAAUAGCAUUCAGUAACUUGGAUAUAACCUUUCUACUUACAUUUAGGUGGAAGUGCAGACUAGAUGAAAACAGUUAAAUUCAACAAAGAGUUCGAUUACUCUGGAGAAACGGGAAAUGUGUCUGUAACAGGAAAACGUGUAACAGGAACUACAUGCCCAUACAAAGGAGCUGACUGUGUCAAGGACGCAGACAGACAGAGAGACACAGAGACAGCCAAUAUGUUUACUCUAACUGUUUUAAUAGUUUUGCAAUUUUCAUUAGUUUUAUUUUUCUUUAGUUUUGACUUAAGAUUUUAAAACUAAACACAUUUUUGCUACAAAAUCAGUUAAUUUUGUGA